Molecule: ribosomal RNA, 900 nt
Filed under: uncultured bacterium
Lineage: Bacteria
Description: bacterial SSU rRNA
Rfam family: Bacterial small subunit ribosomal RNA
Source: RNAcentral
GCAAGUCGAACGAGAGAUGAGGAGCUUGCUCUUCAGAUCGAGUGGCGAACGGGUGAGUAACGCGUGAGGAACCUGCCUCAAAGAGGGGGACAACAGUUGGAAACGACUGCUAAUACCGCAUAAGCCCACGGCUCGGCAUCGAGCAGAGGGAAAAGGAGUGAUCCGCUUUGAGAUGGCCUCGCGUCCGAUUAGCUAGUUGGUGAGGUAAUGGCCCACCAAGGCGACGAUCGGUAGCCGGACUGAGAGGUUGAACGGCCACAUUGGGACUGAGACACGGCCCAGACUCCUACGGGAGGCAGCAGUGGGGAAUAUUGCACAAUGGGGGAAACCCUGAUGCAGCGACGCCGCGUGGAGGAAGAAGGUCUUCGGAUUGUAAACUCCUGUUGUUGAGGAAGAUAAUGACGGUACUCAACAAGGAAGUGACGGCUAACUACGUGCCAGCAGCCGCGGUAAAACGUAGGUCACAAGCGUUGUCCGGAAUUACUGGGUGUAAAGGGAGCGCAGGCGGGAGAACAAGUUGGAAGUGAAAUCCAUGGGCUCAACCCAUGAACUGCUUUCAAAACUGUUUUUCUUGAGUAGUGCAGAGGUAGGCGGAAUUCCCGGUGUAGCGGUGGAAUGCGUAGAUAUCGGGAGGAACACCAGUGGCGAAGGCGGCCUACUGGGCACCAACUGACGCUGAGGCUCGAAAGUGUGGGUAGCAAACAGGAUUAGAUACCCUGGUAGUCCACACCGUAAACGAUGAUUACUAGGUGUUGGAGGAUUGACCCCUUCAGUGCCGCAGUUAACACAAUAAGUAAUCCACCUGGGGAGUACGACCGCAAGGUUGAAACUCAAAGGAAUUGACGGGGGCCCGCACAAGCAGUGGAGUAUGUGGUUUAAUUCGACGCAACGCGAAGAACC